CUAGUUGUGACCGUAAACGAUGCCAACCAGCGAUUCGGCGACGUUCUUUUUAUGACUCGCUGAGCAGCUUCCGGGAAACCAAAGUGUUUCGGUUCCGGGGGAAGUAUGGUUGCAAAGCUGAAACUUAAAGGAAUUGACGGAAGGGCACCACCAGGAGUGGAGCAUGCGGCUUAAUUUGACUCAACACGGGAAAACUCACCCGUCCCGAACACUGUGAGGAUUGACAGAUCAAGAGCUCUUUCUUGAUUCAGUGGGUAGUGGUGCAUGGCCGUUCUUAGUUGGUGGAGCGAUUUGUCUGGCUAAUUCCGAUAACGAACGAGACUCUGGCCUACUAACUAGCGGCGGUAUUCAUGACUUCCGUGCCUGCGGAGUCGUGCGCGGUUGGCUGCGCAUCAGUCGCCGCGUACGCGCUUCCUGGCCGGGAGCACCAGUACUGGCAGCCGCUUCUUAGAGGGACCAGCGACACUUUCGCAAGCCGCACGAGAAAGAGCAAUAACAGGUCUGUGAUGCCCUUAGAUGGACGGGGCUGCACGCGUGCUACACUGACGGCGUCAGCGUGCGUUCAAGCCUGGCCUGGCAAGGUCGGGAAAUCGGUUGAAACGUUCUCGUGACUGGGACAGGGAAUUGCAAUUAUUUCCCUCGAACGAGGAAUUCCCAGUAAGCGCGAGUCAUCAGCUUGCGUUGAUUA
Molecule: ribosomal RNA, 688 nt
Filed under: Trichuris skrjabini
Lineage: Eukaryota; Metazoa; Nematoda; Enoplea; Trichinellida; Trichuridae
Description: bacterial SSU rRNA
Rfam family: Eukaryotic small subunit ribosomal RNA
Source: RNAcentral